This 253-nucleotide ribosomal RNA is filed under the name uncultured bacterium. Its description in RNAcentral is "partial 16S ribosomal RNA". It matches the Rfam family "Bacterial small subunit ribosomal RNA", at positions 524 to 776 of the family's 1533-position model. The record is from RNAcentral.
UACGAAGGGGGCUAGCGUUGCUCGGAAUCACUGGGCGUAAAGCGCACGUAGGCGGAUUGUUAAGUCAGGGGUGAAAUCCUGGAGCUCAACUCCAGAACUGCCUUUGAUACUGGCGACCUUGAGUCCGGGAGAGGUGAGUGGAACUGCGAGUGUAGAGGUGAAAUUCGUAGAUAUUCGCAAGAACACCAGUGGCGAAGGCGGCUCACUGGCCCGGUACUGACGCUGAGGUGCGAAAGCGUGGGGAGCAAACGGG